Molecule: ribosomal RNA, 449 nt
Filed under: uncultured bacterium
Lineage: Bacteria
Description: partial 16S ribosomal RNA
Rfam family: Bacterial small subunit ribosomal RNA
Source: RNAcentral
AACGAACGCUGGCGGCAGGCUUAACACAUGCAAGUCGAACGAGAUCUUCGGAUCUAGUGGCAGACGGGUGAGGAACACGUGGGAACAUCCCUUUCAGUUCGGAAUAACGUUGGGAAACUAACGCUAAUACCGGAUACGUCCUUCGGGAGAAAGAUUUAUCGCUGAAAGAUUGGCCCGCGUCUGAUUAGCUAGUUGGUGAGGUAAUGGCUCACCAAGGCUACGAUCAGUAGCUGAUCUGAGAGGAUGAUCAGCCACAUUGGGACUGAGACACGGCCCAAACCCCUACGGGAGGCAGCAGUGGGGAAUAUUGGACAAUGGGCGCAAGCCUGAUCCAGCCAUGCCGCGUGAGUGAUGACGGCCUUCGGGUUGUAAAGCUCUUUUGUCCGGGAAGAUAAUGACUGUACCGGAAGAAUAAGCCCCGGCAAACUUCGUGCUAGCAGCCGCCGUAA